RNAcentral lists this ribosomal RNA (834 nucleotides) under uncultured bacterium. RNAcentral describes it as "bacterial SSU rRNA". It matches the Rfam family "Bacterial small subunit ribosomal RNA", at positions 60 to 889 of the family's 1533-position model. The record is from RNAcentral.
AGUCGACGGUAACAGGGAAAAGCUUGCUUUUCCGCUGACGAGUGGCGCACGGGUGCGUAACGCGUAUACAAUCUGCCUCUUACAGGGGGAUAGCCUUUGGAAACGAAGAAUAAUACCCCAUAGUAUGUAGCUAUCGCAUGGUAACUGCAUUAAAGAUUUAUCGGUAAGAGAUGAGUAUGCGUCCUAUUAGCUAGAUGGUGUGGUAACGGCACACCAUGGCGACGAUAGGUAGGGGCCCUGAGAGGGGGAUCCCCCGCACUGGUACUGAGACACGGACCAGACUCCUACGGGAGGCAGCAGUGAGGAAUAUUGGACAAUGGGCGAGAGCCUGAUCCAGCCAUGCCGCGUGCAGGAAGACUGCCCUAUGGGUUGUAAACUGCUUUUGUACGGGAAGAAACCCACCUACGUGUAGGUGGCUGACGGUACCGUAAGAAUAAGGAUCGGCUAACUCCGUGCCAGCAGCCGCGGUAAUACGGAGGAUCCGAGCGUUAUCCGGAAUCAUUGGGUUUAAAGGGUCCGUAGGUGGACGAUUAAGUCAGAGGUGAAAUCCUGCAGCUCAACUGUAGAAUUGCCUUUGACACUGGUUGUCUUGAAUCAUUGUGAAGUGGUUAGAAUAUGUAGUGUAGCGGUGAAAUGCAUAGAUAUUACAUAGAAUACCAAUUGCGAAGGCAGAUCACUAACAAUGUAUUGACACUGAUGGACGAAAGCGUGGGGAGCGAACGGGAUUAGAUACCCCGGUAGUCCACGCCGUAAACGAUGGUCACUAGCUGUUCGGACUUUGGUCUGAGUGGCUAAGCGAAAGUGAUAAGUGACCCACCUGGGGAGCACGUUCGC